UACGUAGGGGGCAAGCGUUGUCCGGAAUCAUUGGGCGUAAAGCGCGUGUAGGCGGCCCGGUAAGUCCGCUGUGAAAGUCAAAGGCUCAACCUUUGAAAGCCGAUGGAUACUGCGGAGCUAGAGUACGGAAGAGGCGAGUGGAAUUCCUGGUGUAGCGGUGGAAUGCGCAGAUAUCGGGAGGAACACCAAUAGCGAAGGCAGCUCGCUGGGACGUUACUGACACUGAGGCGCGAAAGCGUGGGGAGCGAACAGG
This 253-nucleotide ribosomal RNA is filed under the name uncultured bacterium. Its description in RNAcentral is "partial 16S ribosomal RNA". It matches the Rfam family "Bacterial small subunit ribosomal RNA", at positions 524 to 776 of the family's 1533-position model. The record is from RNAcentral.